GAUGAACGCUGACAGAAUGCUUAACACAUGCAAGUCCACUUGAACUUCGGUUUGGGUGGCGGACGGGUGAGUAACGCGUAAAGAACUUGCCUCACAGAUAGGGACAACAUUUGGAAACGAAUGCUAAUACCUGAUAUUAUGAUUAUAUGGCAUCGUAUAAUUAUGAAAGCUAUAUGCGCUGUGAGAGAGCUUUGCGUCCCAUUAGCUAGUUGGAGAGGUAACGGCUCACCAAGGCGAUGAUGGGUAGCCGGCCUGAGAGGGUGAUCGGCCACAAGGGGACUGAGACACGGCCCUUACCCCUACGGGAGGCAGCAGUGGGGAAUAUUGGACAAUGGACCAAGAGUCUGAUCCAGCAAUUCUGUGUGCACGAUGAAGUUUUUCGGAAUGUAAAGUGCUUUCAGUUGGGAAGAAAAAAAUGACGGUACCAACAGAAGAAGUGACGGCUAAAUACGUG
RNAcentral lists this ribosomal RNA (454 nucleotides) under uncultured bacterium. RNAcentral describes it as "partial 16S ribosomal RNA". It matches the Rfam family "Bacterial small subunit ribosomal RNA", at positions 28 to 507 of the family's 1533-position model. The record is from RNAcentral.